RNAcentral lists this ribosomal RNA (1544 nucleotides) under Staphylococcus aureus. RNAcentral's name for it is "16S ribosomal RNA". It matches the Rfam family "Bacterial small subunit ribosomal RNA". The record is from RNAcentral. Lineage: Bacteria; Bacillati; Bacillota; Bacilli; Caryophanales; Staphylococcaceae.
AGAGUUUGAUCCUGGCUCAGGAUGAACGCUGGCGGCGUGCCUAAUACAUGCAAGUCGAGCGAACGGACGAGAAGCUUGCUUCUCUGAUGUUAGCGGCGGACGGGUGAGUAACACGUGGAUAACCUACCUAUAAGACUGGGAUAACUUCGGGAAACCGGAGCUAAUACCGGAUAAUAUUUUGAACCGCAUGGUUCAAAAGUGAAAGACGGUCUUGCUGUCACUUAUAGAUGGAUCCGCGCUGCAUUAGCUAGUUGGUAAGGUAACGGCUUACCAAGGCAACGAUGCAUAGCCGACCUGAGAGGGUGAUCGGCCACACUGGAACUGAGACACGGUCCAGACUCCUACGGGAGGCAGCAGUAGGGAAUCUUCCGCAAUGGGCGAAAGCCUGACGGAGCAACGCCGCGUGAGUGAUGAAGGUCUUCGGAUCGUAAAACUCUGUUAUUAGGGAAGAACAUAUGUGUAAGUAACUGUGCACAUCUUGACGGUACCUAAUCAGAAAGCCACGGCUAACUACGUGCCAGCAGCCGCGGUAAUACGUAGGUGGCAAGCGUUAUCCGGAAUUAUUGGGCGUAAAGCGCGCGUAGGCGGUUUUUUAAGUCUGAUGUGAAAGCCCACGGCUCAACCGUGGAGGGUCAUUGGAAACUGGAAAACUUGAGUGCAGAAGAGGAAAGUGGAAUUCCAUGUGUAGCGGUGAAAUGCGCAGAGAUAUGGAGGAACACCAGUGGCGAAGGCGACUUUCUGGUCUGUAACUGACGCUGAUGUGCGAAAGCGUGGGGAUCAAACAGGAUUAGAUACCCUGGUAGUCCACGCCGUAAACGAUGAGUGCUAAGUGUUAGGGGGUUUCCGCCCUUAGUGCUGCAGCUAACGCAUUAAGCACUCCGCCUGGGGAGUACGACCGCAAGGUUGAAACUCAAAGGAAUUGACGGGGACCCGCACAAGCGGUGGAGCAUGUGGUUUAAUUCGAAGCAACGCGAAGAACCUUACCAAAUCUUGACAUCCUUUGACAACUCUAGAGAUAGAGCCUUCCCCUUCGGGGGACAAAGUGACAGGUGGUGCAUGGUUGUCGUCAGCUCGUGUCGUGAGAUGUUGGGUUAAGUCCCGCAACGAGCGCAACCCUUAAGCUUAGUUGCCAUCAUUAAGUUGGGCACUCUAAGUUGACUGCCGGUGACAAACCGGAGGAAGGUGGGGAUGACGUCAAAUCAUCAUGCCCCUUAUGAUUUGGGCUACACACGUGCUACAAUGGACAAUACAAAGGGCAGCGAAACCGCGAGGUCAAGCAAAUCCCAUAAAGUUGUUCUCAGUUCGGAUUGUAGUCUGCAACUCGACUACAUGAAGCUGGAAUCGCUAGUAAUCGUAGAUCAGCAUGCUACGGUGAAUACGUUCCCGGGUCUUGUACACACCGCCCGUCACACCACGAGAGUUUGUAACACCCGAAGCCGGUGGAGUAACCUUUUAGGAGCUAGCCGUCGAAGGUGGGACAAAUGAUUGGGGUGAAGUCGUAACAAGGUAGCCGUAUCGGAAGGUGCGGCUGGAUCACCUCCUUU